UGGCGAACGGGUGAGUAACGCGUGAGGAACCUGCCUCAAAGAGGGGGACAACAGUUGGAAACGACUGCUAAUACCGCAUAAGCCCACGGCUCGGCAUCGAGCAGAGGGAAAAGGAGCAAUCCGCUUUGAGACGGCCUCGCGUCCGAUUAGCUAGUUGGUGAGGUAAUGGCCCACCAAGGCAACGAUCGGUAGCCGGACUGAGAGGUUGAACGGCCACAUUGGGACUGAGACACGGCCCAGACUCCUACGGGAGGCAGCAUG
RNAcentral lists this ribosomal RNA (261 nucleotides) under uncultured bacterium. RNAcentral's name for it is "partial 16S ribosomal RNA". It matches the Rfam family "Bacterial small subunit ribosomal RNA", at positions 96 to 353 of the family's 1533-position model. The record is from RNAcentral.